GCUCAAGCAAUGGUCAAAAAAUUUGAGGGGAUGUAUGACAUGGUCUGUGAAGGCUGGGUCCCUGGUUGCAGUGAUGAACAUAGCUUAAUUGAGGAGGUCUGUUUGGAUAUUCUGUUUGCAUUACAUCAGACCUUGUGACCCUGAAUCUGACAGCUGUAGACCCGGAGGAACCCAUGGUCCACGCCACACCCAUGGAGGCACUUGAGGAUCCCAUGGUCCACGCCACACCCACGGAGGCACUUGAGGAUCCCAU
This is a long non-coding RNA of Lampris incognitus (smalleye Pacific opah), 253 nucleotides long. RefSeq lists it as uncharacterized. Lineage: Eukaryota; Metazoa; Chordata; Actinopteri; Lampriformes; Lampridae. The record is from RefSeq and is a predicted model, not a curated record. The transcript has 3 exons.